CUCGUAGGUGGUUUGUCGCGUUGUCCGUGAAAACUCACAGCUUAACUGUGGGCGUGCGGGCGAUACGGGCAGACUGGAGUACUGCAGGGGAGACUGGAAUUCCUGGUGUAGCGGUGGAAUGCGCAGAUAUCAGGAGGAACACCGGUGGCGAAGGCGGGUCUCUGGGCAGUAACUGACGCUGAGGAGCGAAAGCGUGGGGAGCGAACA
RNAcentral lists this ribosomal RNA (207 nucleotides) under uncultured bacterium. RNAcentral's name for it is "partial 16S ribosomal RNA". It matches the Rfam family "Bacterial small subunit ribosomal RNA", at positions 568 to 774 of the family's 1533-position model. The record is from RNAcentral.